Molecule: ribosomal RNA, 492 nt
Filed under: uncultured bacterium
Lineage: Bacteria
Description: partial 16S ribosomal RNA
Rfam family: Bacterial small subunit ribosomal RNA
Source: RNAcentral
AGUGAACGCUGGCGGUAGGCCUAACACAUGCAAGUCGAACGGCAGCACAGUAAGGGUUGGCCUUUAGGGUUGGCGGGGGGCGGAGGGGGAAGGAAUACAUGGGAUUCAACUUUUUCGGGGGGAACAACGUGGGAAAACUACGGCUAAAACGGAAUACAACUAACGGGGGAAAGCAGGGGAUAUUGGGACUUUGGGGGAUGGAUGGAGCGGAUGUCGGAUUAGCUAGUUGGCGGGGUAAAGGCCCACCAAGGCGACGAUCCGUAGCUGGUCUGAGAGGAUGAUCAGCCACACUGGAACUGAGACACGGUCCAGACUCCUACGGGAGGCAGCAGUGGGGAAUAUUGGACAAUGGGCGCAAGCCUGAUCCAGCCAUACCGCGUGGGUGAAGAAGGCCUUCGGGUUGUAAAGCCCUUUUGUUGGGAAAGAAAAGCAGCAGGUUAAUACCCCGCUGUUCUGACGGUACCCAAAGAAUAGGCACCGGCUAACUUCGUG